RNAcentral lists this ribosomal RNA (468 nucleotides) under uncultured bacterium. RNAcentral's name for it is "partial 16S ribosomal RNA". It matches the Rfam family "Bacterial small subunit ribosomal RNA", at positions 37 to 507 of the family's 1533-position model. The record is from RNAcentral.
GGGGGGGGGUGGGGGGGGGCGGGACACGUGCAAGGCGAACGGAAAGGCCCUGCUUUUGUGGGGUGCUCGAGUGGCGAACGGGUGAGUAACCCGGGAGUAACCUGCCCUUGACUUUGGGAUAACUUCAGGAAACUGGGGCUAAUACCGGAUAGGAGCUCCUGCUGCAUGGGGGGGGUUGGAAAGGUUCGGCGGUUGGGGAGGGACUGGCGGCUUAUCAGCUUGUUGGUGGGGGAGUGGCUUACCAAGGCUUUGACGGGUAGCCGGCCUGAGAGGGUGACCGGCCACAUUGGGACUUAGAUACGGCCCAGACUCCUACGGGAGGCAGCAGUGGGGAAUAUUGCACAAUGGGCGGAAGCCUGAUGCAGCAACGCCGCGUGCGGGAUGACGGCCUUCGGGUUGUAAACCGCUUUCGCCUGUGACGAAGCGUGAGUGACGGUAAUGGGUAAAGAAGCACCGGCUAACUACGUG